UUGCCAGCCCGCUCAAGAACUUAAGGAAUUGACGGGACCGCACAAGCAGCGGAGCGUGUGGUUUAAUUCGAUGCUACACGAAGAACCUUACCAAGGUUUGACAUGUAAGUGGUAGUGAUCUGAAAAGUGAACGACCCUUCGGGGAGCUUACACAGGUGCUGCAUGGCUGUCGUCAGCUCGUGUCGUGAGAUGUUCGGUUAAGUCCGCUAACGAGCGCAACCCUCACUGUGUGUUACAUGUGUCACACGGGACUGCCGGUUUUAAGCCGGAGGAAGGCGAGGAUGACGUCAAGUCAGCAUGGCCUUUAUAUCUUGGGCUACACACACGCUACAAUGGUCUGUACAAUAGGUUGCCAAGCCGCGAGGCGGAGCCAAUCCUUAAAGCAGGCCUCAGUUCAGAUUGCAGGCUGCAACCCGCCUGCAUGAAGAUGGAGUUGCUAGUAACCGCAGGUCAGCUAUACUGCGGUGAAUACGUUCCCGGGUCUU
RNAcentral lists this ribosomal RNA (485 nucleotides) under uncultured Anaerolineaceae bacterium. RNAcentral describes it as "bacterial SSU rRNA". It matches the Rfam family "Bacterial small subunit ribosomal RNA", at positions 904 to 1382 of the family's 1533-position model. The record is from RNAcentral. Lineage: Bacteria; Bacillati; Chloroflexota; Anaerolineae; Anaerolineales; Anaerolineaceae.